Andrographis paniculata is the source of this 1875-nucleotide RNA transcript. It is a transcript of the gene named E3 ubiquitin-protein ligase DA2L-like, with no coding region annotated. The transcript has 9 exons. Lineage: Eukaryota; Viridiplantae; Streptophyta; Magnoliopsida; Lamiales; Acanthaceae. The record is from RefSeq and is a predicted model, not a curated record.
UAACGACAAGGGAGAAGCAGCCUGAUCUUGGACAUUGCGUCGUCCAUUUCUCGCCAUAAAUCUUUCAAUCUCACAAAAUCCGUCAUCAGAUCAGCUACAGACAUGCAUGUAUGUGUUGUUUUAUUUUGAAGGGAAUUUGUUGCUACAGAAUUCUGAAUUCCGUACUUACCCUGAUGUUUCCGUUGCGAGAUUUUGAUUUCUAGUUUCGGUAUGUUUGUAAUUGCAUCCCGUCGCGAAUUUGCAUCGAGAUUUCUGUAGAAUAGUUGAUUCGUGCCUGAUUGCGGUGGAAUCUUGAGGCUCGGUAGCAUUAAACCUUUAGGGUUUCAAUUAAUUUUAUUUUUUUUGUAAUUUUUUAGGGGGUGAGGUUGGGGGUUGUGUAGUUUGUAUGGGGAAUAAAUUGGGGAGGAGGAGGCAAGUGGUGGAUGAGAAGUACACCAGGCCUCAGGGGUUGUAUCAACACAAAAAUGUGGAUCACAAGAAGCUUAGGAAGCUGAUUCUGGACUCGAAGCUGGCACCGUGUUACCCUGGCGAUGAUGAUUGUGGUGGUUGUGACCUCGAGGAAUGCCCUAUUUGCUUCUUGUACUAUCCAAGUCUCAACCGGUCAAGAUGUUGUAUGAAAGGCAUUUGCACGGAAUGUUUUCUGCAGAUGAAGACUCCCAAUUCUACUCAGCCUACACAAUGUCCGUUUUGCAAAACCCCAAAUUAUGCUGUGGAGUAUCGAGGUGUUAAGACAAAGGAGGAGAAAGGCUUGGAGCAACUUGAAGAACAGCGCGUUAUAGAAGCUAAAAUAAGGAUGAGGAAGCAAGAACUUCAGGAUGAAGAGGAAAGGAUGUUGAAACGAAGAGAAAUGAACUCUUCUUGCAGUAUGAGAGGAUCAGCUGAAGUUGACCAUUGCUCGACACGAGUGUCAUCUUUUGCUUCUGCCAUAGAAAGUGAAGAAUUUUCUGGCUUAUGCGAACCCAGCGUCAAUCCGCCCAUAAGACUGCCACCACGCCCAAGGCAAACUAGGGAGGAUGGAUUCGAUCUUGAUCUUGAGGACAUAAUGGUUAUGGAAGCUAUUUGGCUUUCUAUUCAGGAAGCUGGUAGGCGCCGGGAUCCACAUUACAGCGAUGCACCUCAGUCGACAAAUUAUGCAGCAGAAGAUUGCCGCUCGUUGGCAGCAAUGACUGCAGCUUCAUCGUCGUCUUCACCUUCUAGUGGCCUGGCUUGUGCAAUCGCUGCCCUUGCCGAGCGCCAACAGACGAGCGCUGAGGCCUCCGAUCACCAAAUGUCCACAUUCAACGCCCCAGGCUGCAGCACUUAUUCUGAUCCCGAACAAGAAUCCGAAAACUAUUUCCCUGCAGCUCAGCUGGCCGAGGUGGGAACUUGUUAUAGAGGUGGCUCGGUUGAAUUCCCCGGCUCUGUUGAACGCCAAGAAGAUGAAUAUCAGUGCGCCAUUGUUCCCGAAAGCUUCGAGGAGCAGAUGAUGCUAGCCAUGGCUGUUUCCCUGGCCGAGGCCCGGGUAGGAAAUGGUACACCCGGUGUUGCUUGGCGAUAGCACUUGAGAUCGAGGCUUCCCUUCUUGGCAAUCAAUGUCUUAUUACAUUAUUCGCCGUGGGAUUCUGUCCUAAUACCUGUAAGUCAUCUCUUUCAAGUUUUGUCGAGAAUCUGUCUAUACAAAAUGGCUAUGUGGUUGUUACAGCUUUUUAUUUUUUUUGGCGGGAAAUGCUACGAGGCUCGCCUACGAGCGCAGUUGGGCUGGUAAUGUAAGGUAGAGUUUGUUGUGGAUGGAAGAAAAAAAGGAUAAGAAGUACUGGAAAAUGUAAUUUUUCUGGUAAGUGUUUUGGAUUGUUAUUUUGGAUGUGAUAUUCUAGCAAAUGAAACUUCUUACGUUUA